This 291-nucleotide long non-coding RNA is filed under the name Mytilus galloprovincialis (Mediterranean mussel). Lineage: Eukaryota; Metazoa; Mollusca; Bivalvia; Mytilida; Mytilidae. The record is from RNAcentral.
AUUUUAUUUAAGAGAGAAAGUGAGAAGAGAAAAUAAUAAAUAAAUAAAACACAAAUGCAAAACAAAAACAAAAAAAUAAGAACUAGAGAAAAAAAAUAAAAAAAUAAAAAAUAAAAAGUCCUUGAAAUUUGGAAUUUGGCAGCAGUAUUUUUUCCUUAAGAUACAACAUUAAUUAAAUUUGGCAAAGUUGGUUUUCCAUUGUAAAUAAUUCAUACAAACACAAAACAGAUAUUAAAGAAUGUAUAUGCAUUUUAGGCACAAAACAAGAACAAAAGGCAAUAAACAAUAAAC